UUCCGGUUGAUCCCGCCGGAGGUCACUGCUAUCGGUGUCCGAUUAAGCCAUGCGAGUCGAGAGGUGUAAGACCUCGGCAGACUGCUCAGUAACACGUGGAUAACCUGCCCAAGGGUCCGGGAUAACCCCGGGAAACUGGGGAUAAUACCGGAUGGGUCACCAGUGCUGGAAUGCUUGGUGGUCGAAAGGUGACGCCUUUGGAUGGGUCUGCGGCGGAUUAGGUUGACGCCGGUGUAACGUACCGGCGUGCCUGUAAUCCGUACGGGUUGUGGGAGCAAGAGCCCGGAGAUGGAUUCUGAGACACGAAUCCAGGCCCUACGGGGCGCAGCAGGCGCGAAAACUCUACAAUGCAGGCAACUGCGAUAGGGGGACAUCGAGUGGCAUCCACCUUGGGUGUCUGUCCAACCGUCUAAAAAACGGUUGUUAGCAAGGGCCGGGCAAGACCGGUGCCAGCCGCCGCGGUAAUACCGGCGGCUCGAGUGGUGGCCGAUAUUAUUGAGUCUAAAGGGUCCGUAGCCGGCUUUGCAAGUCCCCUGGGAAAUCCGGCGGCUUAACCGUUGGGCUUUCAUGGGAUACUACAUUGCUUGGGACUGGGAGAGGUAGGAGGUACUCGGGGGGUAGGGGUGAAAUCCUGUAAUCCUCCGGAGACCACCGGUGGCGAAGGCGUCCUACCAGAACAGGUCCGACGGUGAGGGACGAAAGCUAGGGGCACGAACCGGAUUAGAUACCCGGGUAGUCCUAGCCGUAAACGAUGCCCGCUAGGUAUCACGACGGUCGUGAAUCGUCGUGGUGCCGUAGGGAAGCCGCGAAGCGGGCCACUUGGGAAGUACGGCCGCAAGGCUGAAACUUAAAGGAAUUGGCGGG
This 864-nucleotide ribosomal RNA is filed under the name uncultured Methanocella sp. Its description in RNAcentral is "bacterial SSU rRNA". It matches the Rfam family "Archaeal small subunit ribosomal RNA", at positions 1 to 872 of the family's 1478-position model. Lineage: Archaea; Methanobacteriati; Methanobacteriota; Methanomicrobia; Methanocellales; Methanocellaceae. The record is from RNAcentral.